AUUGAACGCUGGCGGCAGGCCUAACACGUGCAAGUCGAACGGUGACAGGAAGCAGCUUGCUGCUUCGCUGACGAGUGGCGGACGGGUGAGUAAUGUCUGGGAAACUGCCUGAUGGAGGGGGAUAACUACUGGAAACGGUAGCUAAUACCGCAUAACGUCGCAAGACCAAAGAGGGGGACCUUAGGGCCUCUUGCCAUCGGAUGUGCCCAGAUGGGAUUAGCUAGUAGGUGGGGUAACGGCUCACCUAGGCGACGAUCCCUAGCUGGUCUGAGAGGAUGACCAGCCACACUGGAACUGAGACACGGUCCAGACUCCUACGGGAGGCAGCAGUGGGGAAUAUUGCACAAUGGGCGCAAGCCUGAUGCAGCCAUGCCGCGUGUAUGAAGAAGGCCUUCGGGUUGUAAAGUACUUUCAGCGGGGAGGAAGGGAGUAAAGUUAAUACCUUUGCUCAUUGACGUUACCCGCAGAAGAAGCACCGGCUAACUCCGU
RNAcentral lists this ribosomal RNA (489 nucleotides) under uncultured bacterium. RNAcentral's name for it is "partial 16S ribosomal RNA". It matches the Rfam family "Bacterial small subunit ribosomal RNA", at positions 30 to 506 of the family's 1533-position model. The record is from RNAcentral.